RNAcentral lists this ribosomal RNA (375 nucleotides) under uncultured bacterium. Its description in RNAcentral is "bacterial SSU rRNA". It matches the Rfam family "Bacterial small subunit ribosomal RNA", at positions 521 to 896 of the family's 1533-position model. The record is from RNAcentral.
UAAUACGUAGGUCCCGAGCGUUGUCCGGAUUUAUUGGGCGUAAAGCGAGCGCAGGUGGUUUAUUAAGUCUGGUGUAAAAGGCAGUGGCUCAACCAUUGUAUGCAUUGGAAACUGGUAGACUUGAGUGCAGGAGAGGAGAGUGGAAUUCCAUGUGUAGCGGUGAAAUGCGUAGAUAUAUGGAGGAACACCGGUGGCGAAAGCGGCUCUCUGGCCUGUAACUGACACUGAGGCUCGAAAGCGUGGGGAGCAAACAGGAUUAGAUACCCUGGUAGUCCACGCCGUAAACGAUGAGUGCUAGAUGUAGGGAGCUAUAAGUUCUCUGUAUCGCAGCUAACGCAAUAAGCACUCCGCCUGGGGAGUACGACCGCAAGGUUG